Rosa rugosa (rugosa rose) is the source of this 1251-nucleotide long non-coding RNA. RefSeq lists it as uncharacterized. The record is from RefSeq and is a predicted model, not a curated record. Lineage: Eukaryota; Viridiplantae; Streptophyta; Magnoliopsida; Rosales; Rosaceae. The transcript is spliced from 4 exons.
UCUCUCUCCCUACGCUACUCCCCUUCAGCACUCUCCGCCUCUCCAUCGACCCACUCGCCGUCUCUGAAGUCGAUGUCGUUUUGCACCGAUCUUUAUCCGGCUGGAGCUGAGUCGCCGGUGACCACUGGACCUCCAUCUACGACUGGAAAGCUACCUAGAGACGAAAUGGAAGGCGACGACAAUCAUGAAGACGGUCGGAGCUGCGGCCGAGAUUCGGUGCUCGAGACUCGAUCUGUGCCUACAACUUCUUCUUUCUCAUCGCGGAUUUCGUUCUCAUUUCCCGCUCCCAAAACCGUAACCCGAGCGCCGCGUCGGCUUUUCCACUGUCUGUGAGUCCUCUCAAUUUUCAAUUUCAGACAUAUUUUUCCUUUAAUUUCUUGAACCAUUUUUAUGCAUUCCACUGGUUAAUUUUGUUUCUGUUGCUGUUUCUUUUGUUUCGAUGCUAAUUGUUGAUAUUUUGUGUUCGUUUUCAUGGAUUUGGGAGAAAAUGGUGGAGUGGAGGCCAAAGAUUGCAUCAAGAUCAAGGAUAUGGCAUUCAAGGCCUCAGGAGCCUACAAAAACUGCAAGCCAUGUUCGAGGCUGUGUGGCGACCACCGGAAAGGGAACUGUUCGGACUCUGAUAUGUCGGCAAAGUGAGUUUGUGAUGUGAACUGAAUUAAUUUGUAUACUGAUGCAUUUGAUUGCAGGAUAUUCAUGGAAAUGAUGUAAAGCUAAGUGAGAACAGCGGCAAGGUUCUUCUGAUUGUGAAUGUUGCUUCAAAAUGGUUUUGAGAUCCUGGCAUUUCCUUGCAACCAGUUUGCAGGACAAGACGUUUCCUGGAAUGAGGAGAUUCAGGAAGUUGCAUGUACGAAGUUGAAAGCUGAAUUUCCAAUCUUUGACAAGGAUGAGGCUCCCCUUUACAAGGUCUUAAAAUUGGAGAAAGGUGGUCUCUUUGGAAAUGGCAUCAAAUGGAACUUUACCAAGUUUGUUGUUUAGACAAGGAUCUACAUACAGAAGACAUGGGGCGGGUUAAAGAAAACAUAGGGAAGAAAGUGAAAAAGAAGAUUAUGAAGAAGAAGCAAAAAUUCCAACGAGGAAGAAAAAGGAUAUGAAGAAGAGUAGCAAGGACAUACGAAAUUUUAGAAAUUUGUUUAGGGCUUAGGAUAGUGACUUGGCCAAUUGUAAACUCUAUUGGCCAAACUCUAGCUUACUAAAUCAAUUAGUUUUUUUAUAUCUUUUUAUGGUGUCACUAUUAUGUUUAGUUUUUCUUAA